CUGGAAGAGCGGAAAGAGCAGUCAGUGCUCUUAACCACCGAGCCAUGUCUCCAGCCUGAAUUCAUCAGUUUGAAGUGAGAAAAUGAGUUCAUGUCAGAAAAGGCAAAAUAAAAAAUAAUAAAGAGAAGAAGAGUUUCUGGCUAAGGAGAACUUCCCACCAAGAAAAGCUGGGUAAAUAUGUUCCUUUGUACCGAGAUUGUCAAUCUUGUUUAAAACUUGAUUGGAUCUGUAUUGAACUAAAAGACAAAAUUUUCUGAGUUCCUGUGGGCAUUUACAGGAAAGACCAUUUGAAAGGAGAAGACCCUCUGCUUGAGUCUAGAGUGGAUAGUACCUUUCAGCUUGUGGCCCAGAGAUGAAGAGGUUUGAGGAAAGAUACUCCUGUGGAAUGUGAACUCCUAACCCACAAGAGUGGUGGGUGAAGUGUAUGCUGGCAGUAGAAAGAGAAAAUCAAGGGCUUUGUACUACACUUGGACCAGUAUUCCCUGCAAGGAGUCGAUGUGCACAAAGGAGGCUGUCUGACUGUAGUGCAGUCUGUGAACCCUUACGUAGCUCCCACAGUUUCAGGUGAAGUCAAUGCACUGUGUUCUGUUUCAUAUUCUCAGACUCCAGGAUAGAAUUAAGGUAACAAGAUGCAAAUCAGAAUUGCAUCAGAGGAGGCCUCAGUGUGUAUCAUUCUCAUCAGCAAUGUAAGAUUUCAAGGAAUAUGAAAACCAAAGAAAGAUGACACCGUCGAAUGAGCAAUAUCUAUUUCAGUGCUGAAUGACAAGAGAUAAGCACAGUAUGCAGCACUGUAAUUACCUCUAUUUCUAGAGAAUUAUCUGGCCUCCAGAUUCUCUGAGAUGCUUGGCAAGUAACAGCUAUUCUCACUGCAAAGUGUGACAGGUAAUAUGCUGUGUCUGGUUUUGCAUGAGCUACAGAAAUCGUCUCCGAAAGUAUAAUUUUCCUUAAUUUUUAAAAA
Molecule: small RNA, 958 nt
Filed under: Rattus norvegicus (Norway rat)
Lineage: Eukaryota; Metazoa; Chordata; Mammalia; Rodentia; Muridae
Description: uncharacterized LOC103694260
Source: RNAcentral